RNAcentral lists this long non-coding RNA (308 nucleotides) under Mytilus galloprovincialis (Mediterranean mussel). The record is from RNAcentral. Lineage: Eukaryota; Metazoa; Mollusca; Bivalvia; Mytilida; Mytilidae.
CAGAGACAUAUAAUACAAGAGAUUGGCAACUCUAGUAGAGUCUAUAUAACGGCCAAUGAAAUCACUUGGCCACCGGAAGUGCUUGGGAUGAUGAUGUGACCUGGGACGAAGAUGAGCAAAUUUCGCCAUUGUUGUAAAGCGAGACGAUACGCUUAAAGAUUUUUUUUAUCGUUUAUGUCCAUUGUUUUCACAGCUAAAGCAUGUAAGUAUAUUCAAAAGAUACAUUUUACUAAUUCUACCAAUUUGUUUAUACUAUAAUGUGCUGAAAUGAUGAUAAUAAUCAAAUGCAGACUAAUUUAAAGUCGGUC